RNAcentral lists this ribosomal RNA (568 nucleotides) under uncultured archaeon. RNAcentral's name for it is "bacterial SSU rRNA". It matches the Rfam family "Archaeal small subunit ribosomal RNA", at positions 179 to 748 of the family's 1478-position model. The record is from RNAcentral.
UUUAUGUUUCAAAUAAUUUAUUGCCGUAGGAUGGGACUGCGGCCUAUCAGUUUGUUGGUGAGGUAAUGGCCCACCAAGACUAUUACAGGUACGGGCUCUGAGAGGAGUAGCCCGGAGAUGGGUACUGAGACACGGACCCAGGCCCUAUGGGGCGCAGCAGGCGAGAAAACUUUGCAAUGUGCGAAAGCACGACAAGGUUAAUCCGAGUGGUUUCUGCUAAAGGAACCUUUUGUCAGUCCUAGAAACACUGAUGAAUAAGGGGUGGGCAAGUUCUGGUGUCAGCCGCCGCGGUAAAACCAGCACCUCAAGUGGUCAGGAUGAUUAUUGGGCCUAAAGCAUCCGUAGCCUGCUUUGUAAGUUUUCGGUUAAAUCCAUACGCUCAACGUAUGGGCUGCCGGGAAUACUGCAAAGCUAGGGAGUGGGAGAGGUAGACGGUACUCGGUAGGAAGGGGUAAAAUCCUUUGAUCUAUUGAUGACCACCUGUGGCGAAGGCGGUCUACCAGAACACGUCCGACGGUGAGGGAUGAAAGCUGGGGGAGCAAACCGGAUUAGAUACCCGGGUAGUCCC